Non-coding RNA from Lolium perenne, 611 nucleotides. NCBI's taxonomy places the organism in Eukaryota, Viridiplantae, Streptophyta, Magnoliopsida, Poales, Poaceae. The record is from RefSeq and is a predicted model, not a curated record.
AUAUAGUGAUGGCACAUACGACCACUACAAUCAUUGGUAUCGCAGUAGCACAAGGAUUUUGCUCACCGGUCCUCCACCAGAUUACACACAUGCCGAUCAGCUGGUUGUAGGGACUGAACGAACAGCAGCAUACCAUCGCGAAACCUCGAUACAAGAAUAUAGGGAGAUCGCUCGGUCUGCAUCGGAUGCUUUGCGGCUGCGAAACGUGAAUAGUCCUGAAGGAAAGUCCCUGAUUAGGCGUAUUUUUAAUACGGCCAUGAACGGGCUUAAAAGAUUUGGUUGUGCUCGAGAUGACGAUGUUGUUACGCGAGAAUACGACAUGCCAGAUGCACCAUCGUCUAGACCCAGUAUGGCGCGUACGAGCAGUAUGGCGCGUACGAGCAGUAUGGCACGUACGAGCAGUAUGGCGCGUACGAGCCAACCUCCUACGCGGAAUCCAUCAUAUGCACGCGUCGACUCAUCUCUACUUGACCGCUCACAAUCAGCUCGCAUGUCUCCGCCCCAUGGCGCCACACAGGAGGAGAAUAUUUUCUCUACUAAUCCGUUCGGGGAACGAUUUUCAUACACCCAAGGGGAGACUUCAAACGUCGACAACACCACUCGCGUAUGUU